Molecule: unclassified non-coding RNA, 207 nt
Filed under: soil metagenome
Description: partial contains 5.8S ribosomal RNA, internal transcribed spacer 2, and large subunit ribosomal RNA
Source: RNAcentral
AACCAUAGAAACCUGCGGAGUACCUGCGGAAGGAUCAUUACCGAGUUUACAACUCCCAAACCCCUGUGAACAUACCUAUACGUUGCCUCGGCGGAUCAGCCCGCGCCCCGUAAAACGGGACGGCCCGCCCGAGGACCCUAAACUCUGUUUUUAGUGGAACUUCUGAGUAAAACAAACAAAUAAAUCAAAACUUUUAGCAACGGAUCU